GACAGAGGGGGCAAGCGUUGUCCGGACUUACUGGGCGUAAAGCGUCCGCAGGCGGCAGGGUAAGUGCGCGGUGAAAGCGCCCAGCUUAACUGGGCGAGGCCCACGCAGACUGCCCCGCUCGAGGCAAGCAGAGGUAGGUGGAAUUGCCGGUGUAGUGGUGAAAUGCGUAGAGAUCGGCAGGAACACCAAGGGGGAAGCCAGCCUACUGGGCUUGUCCUGACGCUCAGGGACGACAGCGUGGGGAGCGAACCGG
This 253-nucleotide ribosomal RNA is filed under the name uncultured bacterium. RNAcentral's name for it is "partial 16S ribosomal RNA". It matches the Rfam family "Bacterial small subunit ribosomal RNA", at positions 524 to 776 of the family's 1533-position model. The record is from RNAcentral.